Aegilops tauschii subsp. strangulata is the source of this 5103-nucleotide non-coding RNA. The record is from RefSeq and is a predicted model, not a curated record. NCBI's taxonomy places the organism in Eukaryota, Viridiplantae, Streptophyta, Magnoliopsida, Poales, Poaceae.
GUUAACAAAGUUUCAUUACCUAACAAAGUCAAUAUUUGCCGUUUCUUUGCCAGGUGGUGAUUGUAAAUAUAAUUUUACCCUAAGGCAUAUUUUUGAUGGUUUUCAUGAUGAGAGGAAGUUCUCUUUUAUGUUAGAGGAAAUGUUGGGCGCAAACCUUUUUACCAUACUCUUUAUGAGCGCCUCUGUUCAACACGUGGAUUUGUUGGAUGCGGUUGCAUAAUCAUGUCGAUAGUUUCUGUUGGUUUGACAUGAAAUUGCAGUUCCUUAUUUAUUGUCCAAACAACAAUGAUUUGUACCUGUUUGAGUUUUUUUAUGAUCAUGUACUGUAUAUUUUUGUUUUCUUGUAGUAUUUGCAUCAUCGAAAAUUGCUUUUGGAGGCCUCCUUUUGUGAAAUUCGUGACAAUUUAUAUUUUUACAUUUUUUUAAAAAUACAGAUAUACAUGGAGGCGUAAUGUACAGGUAUAUAAAUUUCCAAGACAAAAUAAGUUGAAAUGAGGGCUCUGCAAAAAAAACAAAUUUGAUGCUAUUUAACACAUGAUACUAUUCAUUUUCAAAGUCCAAAAUUUUGUCUUUUUUGUACUGGUCGCAUUUCAAGGUAUUUCGCCCUGAAUUUUUACACACAUGUACAUUUCACCCUUGUAUAGUUGCUUAAUUAUUUUCAGUUUUUUUUGAACUCGGAAAGUUUGAAUUUUGAAUUUUUCAAAAAUAAAAGGGUCCAUGAAGCUCGGUCGCCGAAACGCCAUACUCUUUGCAUCAUAGAAAAUUAUACUAAUUUAGUCUCAAACAGACGUAUGCAAACUCUACUUUUUUUAGGGAUGUAUUACUAUACGCAAUCAUAGCUGAUUAGUAGGGAGUUUGUUAAGCCCAAUAGGCUCACGCACAUGUACAUAGCCUCCGCACAUCUAUUCUCUCGCCCUCACCCCCUAAAAAAUUAUUCGCUCGUACUCACACCUUCACACACUCACACGCGGCUCUUGCCUGAUCCCCUUUUCAUUUCCUUCUAUCUGCCCGCUCCAAAUCUGCUUCUGCCCGAUGAGUUCUGGCUGUUGACUCUGCUAAUCGGCGCCGCGGAUUUAAUUCCCCGUCUUCGAUUCCUUGCUAACCUUGUUCGUCCCACCUGCACGCACCUCUGCAGCUCGGCUCACUGGUGCCGCCACGGGUGGCACUUGAUUUGGCUCCCUGAACGCUUCCUCAAUAUCUCAGGCGGUCAACGGGGCGGGAGUGGUCGAUUAGAAGCUGGGCAUUGGAGGAGGCCCGACAGGUCAUCUUCAUGCUCGAUAGUGGCAGCCUGACUUCGGCGGCUCAUUCUUCCACAUGUGGUUCCCCCUUCUCCCUUUUCCUGCCUCCCUUGUUUAUUUAUUUCCCGUUUCUUCCUUUCUCUGCAUGUGUAUGGUUGAACCAAUAUAAUGAAACCCAGGCACAACUGCACAACUUGUUAGUUAAAGAUGUAAAUUUGUUUAUGUCGUCCACUUUUUUUCGUGCUUGGGUGGGCAUCGGUGGUGUACCCCCCUGCUCCCAUUCAUAUUGAACAAAUUUAAUAAGUAUUUAGUUAUUUGAGAUUAGCUAUAGCUGUAGUUUCAUCGCUAAAAAAGCUAUAGUUCUACUAUUUCCCAAAGAUAGAAUUAAGUUUAAUAAAUGAAUAUGAAAUAGGUGCCAUUGCAUUAUAUACGUCAACUAUAACGAUGCGUGGAUGUUGUCACUAUUGGCUUGUUCAAAAGAAUAAGCUUCAGAUAUUAGAUAUAUAGUGUCCACAAUUGGUACUAUUGAGCUAUUUCCAUCAAAUGUUGAUGCAUGUUUCCAGUACUUCUGGCAGUAGUAGUUCAUAUUCAUUUUGCGGCUUCCGCCAUAUUAGCAUAGAAAAGCCAUUUUUAUUUUGAAUAUAGUUUGCACUGUACUAAUUUUCCAUCCACUUAUGGUUACCUAAAAAGGCUAGUAGCAAGUGUAAGUGUGUUUUUAGUUCCUACCUUUAGAAUAUUUUGGUGUAGCCUAUGUUGUUGACCACAUCAUCCUUGUUGUUGGUUCAUUUGUGCUAUAGAAAAUAAAAUAAUAGAUGUGAUCAAGUCAGUAGGUUAUCACUUGCGAUUGGUUUUCCAAACUAUUCCCUUCCUCUUAUGUCUCUCAUGAAGUCCUUUAGCUUUAUGUAGAAAUUCGGUCAACAAUAUCAGGUCUUUGUGAUGUUGCUUGGCAUACUUCCUGUAGCACAGAUUCAAUCUCCGGCCAAGCCGCGUUACACGUGAAUGUCGCAAAUAAAUCUGUGUAUCCAGCCCACCCAUAUAUUACAUAAGAUUUUGGUAGUUUAAUGACUUGUGUCUUGGGCUAUCUGUGGAAGUUGGAUGGCACAUGGUAGUAGUAUUGUCCUUCGUACAUUGUCAGCCCUUGUAUCUCCUCUUUCUUUUGUGUCUUGCAGGCCAGCAUAUAAUUCCGUUCUUAGGUUUCCUUGAUGUAUUUUGAUCCAGUCUAGUAUGUACUGCAAAAUUCAAGCAAAGGCACUGUAAUUUAAGCUUUUUGCACACCAUCAAGUGUUUCAAUUGGUUAGUACGUUGUUAUAUAUGAUUCUUAUAGCAUUCCAAAAUUGUUGCAUGCUUUCUCUUGCCUUUUGCACCUUUUUUUCAUAUCUAAUGUAUAUUUCCUUUGUGCCCAUCUUCUCCGUAAGAGCAUAUUAAUGGACACUGCAUGGCCAUGAAUUUUGAAUGGUUCUAUGGUAUUCUUCUUGGCCACGUAUCUUUGUACUAAACAAUGAUAUCCUAUCCUUUUCUAUUCUCUGUUGUAUCAUUGACAAUCUAGGCUGCAACUUCAGUUGCAGAUGUCAUGUUGUGUCGUCUUAAUUUCAAGUUGUGAUAGUCGCCUUCUUUGAAUUUAUCCUUGCCAUUCUGAGUUUUUUUGCUAGUCUAUUAUCUCUAUCCAACAUAGUUUUAAGCCCCUCAACAAUGUGAGGAUCUGUUGACUCCCUUUUAUCUUCUAAUUUGUAUGCAUUAAUCCUAUUUUGUCCUGUUCAAUUUUCCAAAUUCAGCAUCAGUUUACAGAUUUGUAUUGUCUUAAUAGAACAUACAUAUGUGGUGCUUUUUUCUAUGUCCUCGGUUUUUAUGUUUUGCACUUUGUGUUACAUUUAGUCAUGUACACAUGCAUAAUAGAAAUACCAGGUUUAUGGAUGCCCAAACCGUAUAUCUUGAUUUAAUUUUCUUGUUACUUACGUCGUGGUCUUACCAGCCUGACUGAUUAUUGAUUUUUUUGUGCCACGGGUUCUCCAUUGCUCUUUUUUAUUCCUGUUCCUGUAUAGUCUUACAUGUAGCUAUCUCUAUUGAAUUGCUCUGCACAAACAUAAAUACCAUUUAGUAGAAAAAUGAGAUUUUUUGCAGCAUGAGCAAUUUAUUACUUGUAAUAGUGGUCAAUGUACAUGAUUAACAUCUGUACAAGAUAUGGUUCCCUGUGGAAAUUCAACAAUGUUGAUUUUGCCUCUGUCUUGGCUAAGCUAAAGUGCACGGAAAUGUGUUCUCAUGUUUUUGAAAAAGAAAUAAUUGAUAUCUACAGCCAGGACCAAAUGCAACAUGUUUUUUUAAUAUUUAUUUAAUAGAGAACCUCAAAUUAGUUGUAGAUCAUAAUGGAAAUGCAUAGGUGGCCUUGCACCAUAACCAUUUGUGUAUGAUAAACUCUGUUAGAUCAAAUAUUUGUACAUCAAAUUGAUUGAUUUAAUGAAGAAUUUUUUGUAAGCUUGGAAAGAAUUGAACACAUAGAUAACACAAUUGAUGUGCAAAGCAGAAGCAAGCUAUAAUGCUGGUUCCAGUAUACCUUACUACAUUUGUGCAUCAUGUAACGGGCAUUUAGCAGUUGAAGUAAAUAUAGUGGAUGAUAAUACACAUAAGGAAAUAACUUUGUAAAUAUUUGCUCACCGCACGUAGUUCAUAGGUUGUUCUUUCGGCAUAGUUGUCGGUCUGGCACAUCUCCAUGCAUGUAUGAUCAAAAGUUGUCUCUUUUUCUUGUCUUGAAGUUUCGUUCUCCUCUCAUAUCUUGUCGUUGUUUAUUGACUGGACUCACAUCAAUCAGAUGACAAUCUGGAAUUAUUUUCCCCACCCAAGCUUAAAUCACAAACCCGCAUGUGCCUAACUUGAAUUUUUGCAUUGCAUAUUUUAGUUGUUAACACUCAUGUGAUAUCUCCUAUUAAAGAUGGUUAGUAAUGGAUCAGCUUGUUGGAUUGCACAUUUGAUGAUUUUAACCAUCUUGGAAGGUUUCUCUCAUUUUUGCUAUGUGGCACACCUUUUGAUUUAUGUUUCUUCCUGCGCAAUGAGAAUGCAUACAUCAUUAAAGAAGAUGAUAUUGUAAAAAUGUUAUCGAGUAUUGCUCAAGGUUAAGAAGAUUUAUGAUUUUGAUUAUUUUCUAGCUUACAGUUUUAUUUCUUUGUUGUCAAAGUAAAAGAGAUCAACUUCCAAGAACAGUGGAUGUUAAGUUCCAAUCUUCAUGUGAAAACACAAAUAUUGUGAGUAUCUUUUACCCCUAGUAUUGUAGUUACAUGCAAUUCCAUAAAUGCAUAUAUUUAGCAAAGAAUAAGAUUGUAAUUGAGGAUUGCAAGUUCAUGUACAAUUAGGACUGAACAAUUGGAAGUGGAACUGACGGCCUGAUCCAAACUUAAAAGCUAUUUGAUUGUGUUGUCAUACCAUGAAUUGAAGACAUUGGUUGUACUGCCAAUUCUGUUGUUGUUGCUGACAAAAGAUUGAACUCUAAGAAUAAGAUGAUUGCAAUGAGGAUAUGAAGUUGAUGUACAAUAACCAUUGAGAAGUUGCAAGGGGAGCUUAGGACAUGAUUUAAAACUAAUUGAUUGUGUUUUCAUACCUUCAGUUGAAGACAUGGUACUUAUUGGAGAUGGUCUGCUCGCCCAAUGGAGCCGAUGGCGCAAUCAAGGAGAUUGGGGCGCUCGCUCGUGAGAAGUUUUUAGGGAAAGCCAUUUGUGGCUGUGUAUAUUAAUUUGGAAUAAUAUCUACAUAAUCAAUUCAACCUAUCAUGAUUAUUGUUUAUGGGAUUGUAAGAUUGAUUGUGAGAUUUGUGUGUUAGAAUGUGCGACGAAUGGUAAGAUUGACCGUCAUAUGAGUGCAUAGGACAUGGGAAUGAAAA